Molecule: ribosomal RNA, 1306 nt
Filed under: uncultured bacterium
Lineage: Bacteria
Description: bacterial SSU rRNA
Rfam family: Bacterial small subunit ribosomal RNA
Source: RNAcentral
AACGUACGCUGGCGGCACGCCUAACACAUGCAAGUCGAACGAAGUAGCAAUACUUAGUGGCAGACGGGUGAGUAACAUGUGGGUAUCUGCCCUUUGGCCUGGAAUAACACGAGGAAACUUGUGCUAAUACCGGAUAAGUCUUUACGGAGAAAGCUUUAUGCACCAUUGGAUGAGCCUGCACUUGAUUAGUUUGUUGGUGGGGUAAUGGCCUACCAAGACUGUGAUCAAUAGCUGAUUUGAGAGGAUGAUCAGCCACAUUGGGACUGAGACACGGCCCAAACUCCUACGGGAGGCAGCAGUGGGGAAUCUUGCACAAUGGAGGAAACUCUGAUGCAGCGAUGCCGCGUGAGUGAAGAAGGCCCUUGGGUUGUAAAGCUCUUUCGUCGGGGAAGAAAAUGACUGUACCCGAAUAAGAAGGUCCGGCUAACUUCGUGCCAGCAGCCGCGGUAAUGCGAAGGGACCUAGCGUAGUUCGGAAUUACUGGGCUUAAAGAGUUCGUAGGUGGUUGAAAAAGUUAGUGGUGAAAUCCCAGAGCUUAACUCUGGAACUGCCAUUAAAACUUUUCAGCUAGAGUAUGAUAGAGGAAAGCAGAAUUUCUAGUGUAGAGGUGAAAUUCGUAGAUAUUAGAAAGAAUACCAAUUGCGAAGGCAGCUUUCUGGAUCAUUACUGACACUGAGGAACGAAAGCAUGGGUAGCGAAGAGGAUUAGAUACCCUCGUAGUCCAUGCCGUAAACGAUGUGUGUUAGACGUUGGAAAUUUAUUUUCAGUGUCGCAGGGAAACCGAUAAACACACCGCCUGGGGAGUACGACCGCAAGGUUAAAACUCAAAUGAAUUGACGGGGACCCGCACAAGUAGUGGAGCAUGUGGUUUAAUUCGAAGAUACGCGCAGAACCUUACCAACACUUGACAUGUUCGUCGCGACUCUAAGAGAUUAGAGUUUUCGGUUCGGCCGGACGAAACACAGGUGCUGCAUGGCUGUCGUCAGCUCGUGUCGUGAGAUGUUGGGUUAAGUCCCGCAACGAGCGCAACCCUCACUUUUAGUUGCCAUCAUUAAGUUGGGCACUCUGAAAGAACUGCCAGUGAUAAGCUGGAGGAAGGUGGGGAUGACGUCAAGUCCUCAUGGCCCUUACGUGUUGGGCUACACACGUGCUACAAUGGUAUCUACAACAGGAAGCAAGACUGCGAAGUUAAGCAAAUCCCUAAAAGAUACCUCAGUUCGGAUUGCACUCUGCAACUCGAGUGCAUGAAGCUGGAAUUACUAGUAAUCGUGGAUCAGCGUGCCACGGUGAAUGCGUUCCCGGGUCU